UUUGGUGGGUUAAUCAUGUGUUCUAUUGAGAAAAUAGAUCUUAUUUUUUCCCUACAAGAAUCGGCCGAGAAAGAUUCGGUUAAUAUAGGCUGGAUCAGAUCUUAUAUAUUAUAAUACUAAAAAUUCUAUUUCCAAUUCAGAUCUAGGGCGAUUAUCCAAAUAGGCUCUUAUAAUUCAUUUCUUCUGUUUUAGGGCAAUACUGAAAAUGGCAGCUUCCGCACGCCCUUUCUGUGCCUCUGAAUUAUCGGGUCGGGUUUGUAAUUUAACGGACCGGACUCGAAUUCCUGGAUCGGCUCCAAUCCGAUCCGUUUAAGGGCUUAAUCGUGGAACCGCUAGUACUCUCAGCCCUUCCUCUCUUUUCCUAGGUGCUGCAGCGACCGGCGAUUUUUUCAGACCAAGAAGGAAGCGGCAAUGGCGGUACUUGAAGAUGGGAGAGCUUCUGAGAAGAGAUCAGGCGACGAUGGC
Molecule: non-coding RNA, 465 nt
Organism: Elaeis guineensis (African oil palm)
Lineage: Eukaryota; Viridiplantae; Streptophyta; Magnoliopsida; Arecales; Arecaceae
Source: RefSeq, a predicted model, not a curated record